UAGCUACUCCGCUGAAAGAUAAGAAGAAAAUAUAGAAGUAAACUUUCUCGUACGACGCUUCGUUUUCGAGAAAGUCGAGCUUGAAAAUUUGUCAAACAUACUUCAACUUGGAUUAGAUAAUCGACAGGAUGUUGUUCUACACAUGUGCAAACUUAAUAUACAGCGUCUAUAGACGCUACAGUACAUAAUCAGAGAAUCUUUCGACAUUUGUUACAAUCAUCGAGGCUCGGUAAUCUCUUGAUCAAUAGCAUCAAACAAUACAACAAACCUACUCAAACCGCGCCAAUCGCCAAUUAAACGUACCAGUUUUUCGAUACCUAUCGAGGUCGUGAAGAUUCAUAACGCCAAAAGGAAAGGAUCUAUCAAUUCGUCGAUCUUUCAUGUAGAAUCGUUAGAUAUCGAUAUGUGGCGAGAUGAACGAUAAAGCAGGCGGACUCGCCGGAGCGAGUCUAACACUUUGUUCUUGUUGACAGGCGGCCUGGUAGCGUGGCAAGGACAAUCGCUCGAAUGAUACGAAAUUUAAUAUACCCGAACCUAAUUACAAUGGCGAAGAAAAGAAGGUUUGUAAAACGCGAAGUAUAAAAAGACCGCAGAAUUUUACAAAAUCGAUCUAU
This is a long non-coding RNA of Bombus pyrosoma, 614 nucleotides long. RefSeq lists it as uncharacterized. The record is from RefSeq and is a predicted model, not a curated record. Lineage: Eukaryota; Metazoa; Arthropoda; Insecta; Hymenoptera; Apidae. The transcript is spliced from 3 exons.